Molecule: long non-coding RNA, 1150 nt
Organism: Salvelinus namaycush (lake trout)
Lineage: Eukaryota; Metazoa; Chordata; Actinopteri; Salmoniformes; Salmonidae
Exons: 5
Source: RefSeq, a predicted model, not a curated record
CUAAAAUAGUUUUUUCUUUGUAUUUUUAAAAAUAAAAUUAACAAUGGAUAGGAGACACUUGUCCUCCUCCAAGCAUCAGUGACCUCCAGGAACAGUGGCCUUUCCUUUUCAACUUUUUAAAAAGCCAAAAUACCAAGUUGAGAAGAGAGAUCCAGUGCCUGCUGAAUGAAAUCGAUGGUUACAUCAAAGGCAAUGACGAUCUAACAGCCACUGCUGCCAUUCAUUUGUUGAUGACCCACUUCAAAGAGAAGGACAAAUCUCUGUUCCUCUUGGCAGAAGUCACUGCAACUCGGGUUGAUGUCGAGGCACAAAUUCCUUUUCCAGACACACCAAGGCUGACCAUGCUUGGAAAUACUCUAUUGGGUUCCUCAAAAUGGAUGGUGUCGAUCGAGGGGAGAGGGGUCUGUGGUUUGGACAGUGAGUCCAACUUUGCUGCUGCCCUCUAUGCUCUUCAGCACCUCUGCAACCUUGGAGCUGAUACAGAGGUUCCUGGUUCGAAAAACCCCUGAAGGAACCAAGUGCACAGCGAAAGCAGGAGUGAGCCGCAAGACCCGAAAGGUCGUUCAGAGAAAGCCAUUGCCAAUUAACCCACAUGUUACACGCUUUCUCGCAGACCUGAAGGAGUUCGAGUGGAAAAACUCCAACAUUUGACGUAUCAGAGCUAAGGAGGAUUGGGGUGAUAAUCUGCACGCCACCGAGACUUGUUUGCAUCUUUCAUUCUCUCAGAAAUCCUACAAUGCUGGUUGCGUCAGCAAAUGAUCUGGUUGUGCCAUCCCGGAGCGUGUUUUGGCUUGCGGUAGCGUGCUUCUCUGGCUCCAAUCUAGCCCUGCUCGCUCCUCUCUGUCCAUCCUUCUCUCUCAGCCCCUUUCUCUCUCGAUUUCUCUUUCAAAGACAGGCAGGCAAGGAGUUCUUGUUAUAGUUUUUUUGUAAACAUUUCUCCCUGUUCAACUGUUGUUUUCCUAUUUUUAAUUGAUCUGUUUAGAUUUAAUUUUUUUCUUACAUAAUCUUGUAUUUUCAAGAAUGACCUAUUCUGAUGUCUAUUGCCAGUAUUUGUCAAUGUUCUUAUCACUGAAUCUCUCUCUGUCUCUUUCUCUCCCAUAAUAUCUGGAGUUGUAAUGUUGCUCUCUUCAAAUGUUGUUCUUUGUGGUUA